RNAcentral lists this transfer RNA (73 nucleotides) under Stegodyphus mimosarum. It matches the Rfam family "tRNA". Rfam says of the family: Transfer RNA (tRNA) molecules are approximately 80 nucleotides in length. Lineage: Eukaryota; Metazoa; Arthropoda; Arachnida; Araneae; Eresidae. The record is from Rfam by way of RNAcentral.
GCCUUCGUGGUAUAAUGGUCAGCACACUCGGCGCGUAUUCGAGAUGUCCGUGGUUCGAAUCCCGGUGAGGGUA